CUCUCUUCGGGGACAUUUGGAAAAAUCGGAACAAUACAAAGAAGAUUAGGCAUGGCCCCUGUGCAAGGAUGAUGCACAAAUUGGGAAAACGUGGAAAUGCAAUAUUUU
Small nuclear RNA from Cannabis sativa, 108 nucleotides. NCBI's taxonomy places the organism in Eukaryota, Viridiplantae, Streptophyta, Magnoliopsida, Rosales, Cannabaceae. The record is from RefSeq and is a predicted model, not a curated record.